GUCCGGAGACGUCGGCGGGGGCCUC
Molecule: non-coding RNA, 25 nt
Filed under: Arabidopsis thaliana (thale cress)
Lineage: Eukaryota; Viridiplantae; Streptophyta; Magnoliopsida; Brassicales; Brassicaceae
Also listed under: 1 other name
Source: RNAcentral